CAUUCCGCCUGGGGAGUACGGUCGCAAGAUUAAAACUCAAAGGAAUAGACGGGGACCCGCACAAGUGGUGGAGCAUGUGGUUUAAUUCGAAGAUACGCGAAGAACCUUACCUAGCCUUGACAUACUACAGAAUUUGACAGAGAUGUUGGAGUGCCUUCGGGAGCUGUAAUACAGGUGCUGCACGGCUGUCGUCAGCUCGUGUCGUGAGAUGUUGGGUUAAGUCCCGCAACGAGCGCAACCCUCGUCCUUAGUUACUAACGGUUCGGCCGAGGACUCUAAGGAGACUGCCUUCGUAAGGAGGAGGAAGGUGAGGACGACGUCAAGUCAUCAUGGCCCUUACGGCUAGGGCAACACACGUGCUACAAUGGUUAGGACAAUGAGAAGCGAUACCGCGAGGUGGAGCAAAUCUAUAAACCUAAUCUCAGUUCGGAUAGCAGUCUGCAACUCGACUGCUUGAAGCUGGAAUCACUAGUAAUCGUAAAUCAGCUAUGUUACGGUGAAUACGU
Molecule: ribosomal RNA, 506 nt
Filed under: uncultured bacterium
Lineage: Bacteria
Description: bacterial SSU rRNA
Rfam family: Bacterial small subunit ribosomal RNA
Source: RNAcentral